UAAAGUAAUGAGGUUGAUCUGAAGCUUUUUAUUGGCUCUUCAACACAAAGGUCAAAAGUCAAGGUUCACUAGCCUCAUCCACCAGUGGGACCAACUUCAGCCUGACAGGGGUUCAGGAAGGUCAAAGGUCAGGCUCAACCCCAUUCUUUCAGUCUGGAUAAAUAAAUUAGGGAAAUGACUUUAAAUGCCUCCUUCCUUCUGAUAUACGCUAGUCUCCUUCCUUUUUUCUUAUGUUCCCUAGUCUCCUUCCUUCCUCUUGAUGAUCCCUAGUCGUCUUCCUUCCUUGUGUUCUACCUUCUGCAUCUCCUUGUUUCCUAAGCUCGUUAAACCUCCUCCUUUCCUUUCUUGGGUCCUGCCUCCUGCCUCUAUCCUCUUCCUUCCUGUUUAAGACCGUCUGCUGAGGAAAUAAUUUUCCAUAAAUUCACCAUGAUUUUUCAUAUCUGUUGUGUUCCGGCUCUUUACUCCGGGCGCCUCGUCGCCCCGGGACGGUGCUCCUGAACUCCCGGGAUCAGAACGCUUGGAUAUCCUCAUUUUAAUUAAAUGUAUUAAAAGUAUUUUUGCUUCUGGAAAGAGAAAUAAAAUAAAACUCAAGAAAAUUGU
Long non-coding RNA from Poecilia latipinna (sailfin molly), 600 nucleotides. RefSeq lists it as uncharacterized. The record is from RefSeq and is a predicted model, not a curated record. NCBI's taxonomy places the organism in Eukaryota, Metazoa, Chordata, Actinopteri, Cyprinodontiformes, Poeciliidae. The transcript has 3 exons.